This 516-nucleotide ribosomal RNA is filed under the name Triticum aestivum (bread wheat). RNAcentral describes it as "partial small subunit ribosomal RNA". The record is from RNAcentral. Lineage: Eukaryota; Viridiplantae; Streptophyta; Magnoliopsida; Poales; Poaceae.
AUGGAUGCCCAGGAGGUUCGGCUCCUCCUCGUCUUCCUCCUCGCACUCCUCACGGUCUUCUUCCCACUCCUUCGGCUCUCCGGCGCUGCUCGGCGUCAAGGCCGAGCCCGCGGCGGGGACGCCGCUCGGCCGACGCACUUGCAGCGCCGGCAUCGUCAUCAACGAGGGCGGCCGGCGCGCCUCCUCGUCGGCUCCUCCGCGCUUCGUCAAGCCAAAGACGGAGCCGGGGCUCGCGCCGGUGAAAACGGAGCCGGGUCUCCCCGCCGUGAAGACGGAACACGGCGACGUGGAGCUCGACGACGAGGCGGCCCUGGAAUGGGCGUGCAAGGACUUCCUGAAGAUGGAGAGGGAGCGCCAGUGCGCCGCCCUGCGGCGCUUCGAGCAGCGCCGCCGGGGCCGCGACGAAGGAGUCGUCGUCGUCCUCGACGACGACGCGCCGCCGCCGCCACCAGUCCGCCUUGGCGACGCCGGGCAGGGGUCCACCAGGGACGCCCGCGUCAAGGAGGAGAAGGCUGA